UACGUAGGGGGCAAGCGUUGUCCGGAUUUAUUGGGCGUAAAGAGCGUGUAGGCGGCCAUGUAGGUCCGUUGUGAAAACUCGAGGCUCAACCUCGAGACGCCGAUGGAAACCAUGUGGCUAGAGUCCGGAAGAGGAGAGUGGAAUUCCUGGUGUAGCGGUGAAAUGCGCAGAUAUCAGGAAGAACACCCGUGGCUAAGGCGGCUCUCUAGUACGGUACUGACGCUGAGGAGCGAAAGCGUGGGGAGCGAACAGG
This 253-nucleotide ribosomal RNA is filed under the name uncultured bacterium. Its description in RNAcentral is "partial 16S ribosomal RNA". It matches the Rfam family "Bacterial small subunit ribosomal RNA", at positions 524 to 776 of the family's 1533-position model. The record is from RNAcentral.